UUUUGUAUCUUACUUCAUUCAUGUACAUGCUGUUUUCAUAUCAAUACAUAGUAGAGUUAUUAUAUUGGCAAAUUGGUAAUUCAUCCAAUGAAUACUGAUGUUUGUUUCUGGAAAUUCUCUUUUCUGUUCUAUAUGUUUGUUUCACGUGAUCAUUAACACGUUCAUUUUCUUUUAAAUUAGCUUCAAAUUUAAAAGGAUGAUAUUUGGUCUUACUAUACCUAAUUAAAUUUCACAAUUAAUUUCUAGUCUUACCCUAAUUAUGAAUUAUGUACCGAUCAACCGAUUGGACUCAAGUAGAUAAUGAGUUUUAGUUAAAUACAAAUUGGUUGGAAGUACCUGAGUUCGAAUAUUAUUUAGACCAUCAUUGGAUAUACUUUACAAACCUCUUAAUCGAAUUUUGGAUUAUCAAAAACUCAUUUUUCUUGAAAACCGAAGGGAAAAGAAAAGAAAAAGGUAUAAUUUUGUACUGCCUAGUCAUAUCAAUUUCCUUAUACUCAACUACAACUAAGACAAAAACACAUUUUAAUGGUCAAAAUACAAUAUUGUACCUGUUUUAUGGUGCUCAAAUAAUUUUUUUAUUAUUGUAUAUCACAAUCUGAUUCAUGAGCAACCUAUAAUUUAAUCAAAUAAUAUGAUGGUAAACAUAAUUUUAUAGAGGGGCUAGUUGCAUCCACAUUCAUACCCUACACAAGCUAAUUUUGAUCGUAACAAUAUUUCAGGUCCUUGUGCUGCUGAAUAGUGAAGUUGAGUUGAGAAAGCAAUUAAAAUGAAACCAAAGACUGGUUUUGAACUCAUUCUGAAUUAUUCUAGUCAGUGUAAUGAGAAAAAAUUGAAAAAUGAUUCAAGUGCAGGUGCAAAUGCAGCUUCUAGAGUGAACACAAAGUUUUCUGCCUGUGAUCCCCUAUCUGAAAUAGUUUGGUCUCCAGAUAAAGGUUAUAGUCUUAAAUGUGUUGAUUCAAGUUUUACAAACAAAAAUAUCUCUCUUUUCCAAGAUGUUGAACCUAGCAGUAUGGUUCUUGCUCUGCUACAAAGUGUUACUUGUACCACAGAUAAACCUAUAGAUGACGUUUUCGUACAACCUCUUGCUGUCAUAUGCGCGAAGAGCAAUGUUUCUUCCAGUGAUACUCCUGUUAAGCAUCCAACAAGUUAUUCAGCUGUCAUCAUUCCAGAAUGUAAACCAUAUCAAGAACAUGAUGCAGAAUCUAGUGCUAAUUUGGAGAAAAUGAACUCUGCAAGAGGAACACCUAAUUUGGCAAAUUAUCUAAAGGAGAAUUUAAUGAGCCAUUGGGAGAAGGAGAAGAAUAUUUGUGCUCAAGCCAACAUUGAAACAGCUAAAAUAUGUAAGAUCAUGGAAAAGGAAAACAAAUCUUCUACUAUUUCAGGUAGGAUCAAUCGAAGGCCAUUAGGUAGUUUACUAGUUCCAGAAAGUGAAUCCAAACCUAGCAUGGAACAAAACCCUUCACCAAGAAAACAUUGCAAAGAAGGCAUGGAUACUAGAGUUGAACACCUGAUUGAAGAUAAAGGUUCUGGUGCUCUAGGAACAUAUUUAAUAUCAUCCGGCAUUAGACGUUCGAAAAAAAUGGAACUAGCUGCAGAAAAGGAAUUAAAAAAUUUCAACUAUGAAGCUACUUCUGCAGCAAAAAGCAGAAUUAGUGUUUUAAAGGAGGAGAAUGACAGUCAUUUAAGUUGUGAAAACUAUCACAGUACUGAGUUGUUUUUAUCAAGUAGGAAGAGAUGCAAACAACAAGUGAUACUUGGGAGUAAAAAAGUCAAAAUGGAAAUUCAAGAAACUUCAUAUUCUAAAUCCUAUGUUAAAAGGGAUAGCUCAUUCACGAGCUUGUUUUCAAACAUGAUGAAAGGAUACUUACAAUCUAGUCAAGAAGAGAAUAAGUCUUUACCUCUUGCUCAUGAAAAUCGUGAUCACCGCCUUCUACAGCCUCAUAAAGAUCAAGAUCAAAAGCUUAAAAAUUCCUUCAAAUCCUAUUUUAAGUCCACACAUUGUCAGAGUGUUGAGAAUUUUGGAACAAUAAUGUCUCAUCAAGAGGAAGAUGAUGCUGGUGCUUCCUUACAGCUUCAGAUUAGGCCUAUAAAUUUUCUCAACAGUCAUGAAGACUUGAAAAAUAACACAUUAGAGAAUGAAAAUUGUUACAACAUGGUGCUUAGUAAGGAGAAAGAAGGAGUGGCUUUACAUUCACCAAGUAGACAAAAUAAAAACAAUAAUGAGAAUGUUGAGUCCUUGGAAUUGUAUGAGAGAAAGGAAAUUGGUCACAAAAAUGAUACUACGGAAGAUCUGUGGAUAACUCGCUUUUCACCAAAAUCAAUAGUUUCUGAUAACCUUACUGAGAGAGGUGGUUUUCAAACUACUUCCACUUAUUUCUCAAUGCUUACAGAAAAACACAUUUCUCAUCUGAACAACUGCAAGGUUGAAGAGACAAAAGAGCAAUCUGGUGAUAACAAAUUGCUCAGUGAAGCUAAAAGUUUAAAGAAUUGUUGUAUCGACAAAGAAGCUUCUAUUUGUCCUAAGGUUGAGAAGAAAAACAAUGAUCACAUAUCGAAGUAUAAGGUCAACCAUGUUACACCUUUCAAAAGAUUGAGCAAUUAUGAGCCAAUGGUUUCGAUGUUUGCGAGGAGGUUAGGUGCCAUCAAACAAUGCCAACAAAAUUGAGUAGUCUACCACGCAGGACUAAUCUUCAACGAUAAAAAGGACAAAAUGUUGUCUCACAUUGGUCAUGGUCUCAUGGACAAAAUAAAGGUGUCGUCUUGAAAAUAUGUUACAUAGUAAAAAGAUGUUUCUUUAUCUAAAGAAGCAGGAAAACAUUAUCGACUGGUGCAUUAUCUCAACUCAAUUUAGUUGGUGCUGUUAUUCCAACUGAAGAUCUGAUAGUUAAAAUUAAAAAUAUGAAAAUGAUAGGUUUCUGGGCAAAAUAAGUAUCAUUAAAAUUUAUAAGCAUAAGUUUAUUCUAUUUGUAAUAGACAAUUUUUUUUUUAAUUCUUGAAUUGUAUAUGAAAAGGCAGCUUAAAAUUGAAGAUAUAUGUUGUAUAUGACUUGUAAAUAUGAAAAGAAUUGGAAUAAUACGACCUCUUGUUGAUGA
Molecule: RNA transcript, 3092 nt
Organism: Cicer arietinum (chickpea)
Lineage: Eukaryota; Viridiplantae; Streptophyta; Magnoliopsida; Fabales; Fabaceae
Source: RefSeq, a predicted model, not a curated record